RNAcentral lists this ribosomal RNA (254 nucleotides) under uncultured bacterium. RNAcentral's name for it is "partial 16S ribosomal RNA". It matches the Rfam family "Bacterial small subunit ribosomal RNA", at positions 524 to 776 of the family's 1533-position model. The record is from RNAcentral.
UACGUAGGGUGCGAGCGUUGUCCGGAAUCACUGGGCGUAAAGCGCACGUAGGCGGAUAUUUAAGUCGGUGGUGAAAUCCUGGAGCUCAACUCCAGAACUGCCUCCGAUACUGAAUGUCUUCGAGUCCGGGAGAGGUGAGUGGAACUGCGAGUGUAGAGGUGAAAUUCGUAGAUAUUCGGAAGAACACCAGUGGCGAAGGCGACUUACUGGACGAUUGUUGACGCUGAGGUGCGAAAGCGUGGGUAGCGAACAGG